UAUGAACGCUGGCGGCGUGCCUAAUACAUGCAAGUCGAGCGAACGGACGAGAAGCUUGCUUCUCUGAUGUUAGCGGCGGACGGGUGAGUAACACGUGGAUAACCUACCUAUAAGACUGGGAUAACUUCGGGAAACCGGAGCUAAUACCGGAUGAUAUUUUGAACCGCAUGGUUCAAAAGUGAAAGACGGUCUUGCUGUCACUUAUAGAUGGAUCCGCGCUGCAUUAGCUAGUUGGUAAGGUAACGGCUUACCAAGGCAACGAUGCAUAGCCGACCUGAGAUGGUGAUCGGCCACACUGGAACUGAGACACGGUCCAGACUCCUACGGGAGGCAGCAGUAGGGAAUCUUCCGCAAUGGGCGAAAGCCUGACGGAGCAACACCGCGUGAGUGAUGAAGGUCUUCGGAUCUUAAAACUCUGUUAUUAGGGAAGAACAUAUGUGUAAGUAACUGUGCACAUCUUGACGGUACCUAAUCAGAAAGCCACGGCUAACUACGUG
This 497-nucleotide ribosomal RNA is filed under the name uncultured bacterium. RNAcentral describes it as "partial 16S ribosomal RNA". It matches the Rfam family "Bacterial small subunit ribosomal RNA", at positions 29 to 507 of the family's 1533-position model. The record is from RNAcentral.